GUCCCAACAAUAUUUGAAUUUAAAGACAAUUUGAUUUCACGGUUUCCAAAUGAACAUGAAUAUCCUGAUUUGUCCAAAUAGGAAACUGAGACCAGAUUUCGUCUAAAAGACGGCACAACAAAAGUGUCUUUCAAAUCCAAGUAGAAACCAGUGCACAAUAACAGUCUAAAAUGCCCUAUAGCUUCCACUUCUACCGAUUUGCCAUCU
RNAcentral lists this long non-coding RNA (207 nucleotides) under Vigna radiata. Its description in RNAcentral is "long non-coding RNA (VRAD_LNC009274)". Lineage: Eukaryota; Viridiplantae; Streptophyta; Magnoliopsida; Fabales; Fabaceae. The record is from RNAcentral.